This 134-nucleotide ribosomal RNA is filed under the name Escherichia coli. RNAcentral describes it as "partial 23S ribosomal RNA". It matches the Rfam family "Bacterial large subunit ribosomal RNA", at positions 2797 to 2925 of the family's 2925-position model. Lineage: Bacteria; Pseudomonadati; Pseudomonadota; Gammaproteobacteria; Enterobacterales; Enterobacteriaceae. The record is from RNAcentral.
CCCCGAGAUGAGUUCUCCCUGACUCCCUGAGAGUCCUGAAGGAACGUUGAAGACGACGACGUUGAUAGGCCGGGUGUGUAAGCGCAGCGAUGCGUUGAGCUAACCGGUACUAAUGAACCGUGAGGCUUAACCUU